UUACCACUCUGGCCUUUUGGCUUAGAUCAAGUGUAGUAUGACAGAACUAGAUGUGCUUGAACCCAUAAGUUGGACGUUGAUCGAAUGUUUGGCGGAGACUUGCCUUAAAUGGAAAGGGACAAUCGGUCAUGUGACUGUUAUCUUAUCUUAUCUUAAUAGUUUAACCGCUAUCAUGAGGGCACCGCCCUCAUUCUUUGGUUAUCAAAUUUUUGACGCCCUUGAUCCCUGCGAGCUCUGCUUGCAACUCCAGGGACGUGAUGACCUUGCCACUGCAGUACCGGCUCGUGUCAUCGGGGGAUC
This 300-nucleotide small nuclear RNA is filed under the name Paxillus involutus ATCC 200175. RNAcentral describes it as "U2 spliceosomal RNA". Lineage: Eukaryota; Fungi; Basidiomycota; Agaricomycetes; Boletales; Paxillaceae. The record is from Rfam by way of RNAcentral.